Molecule: ribosomal RNA, 439 nt
Filed under: uncultured bacterium
Lineage: Bacteria
Description: partial 16S ribosomal RNA
Rfam family: Bacterial small subunit ribosomal RNA
Source: RNAcentral
CUACGGGGGGCAGCAGUGGGGAAUCUUGGACAAUGGGCGCAAGCCUGAUCCAGCCAUGCCGCGUGAGUGAAGAAGGCCUUAGGGUCGUAAAGCUCUUUCGCCAGAGAUGAUAAUGACAGUACCUGGUAAAGAAACCCCGGCUAACUCCGUGCCAGGAGCCGCGGUAAUACGGAGGGGGUUAGCGUUGUUCGGAAUUACUGGGCGUAAAGCGCGCGUAGGCGGAUUAGUCAGUCAGAGGUGAAAUCCCAGGGCUCAACCCUGGAACUGCCUUUGAUACUGCUAGUCUUGAGUUCGAGAGAGGUGAGUGGAAUUCCGAGUGUAGAGGUGAAAUUCGUAGAUAUUCGGAGGAACACCAGUGGCGAAGGCGGCUCACUGGCUCGAUACUGACGCUGAGGUGCGAAAGUGUGGGGAGCAAACAGGAUUAGAUACCCUCGUAGUC